GGAUUGGAAUGGACAAGAAAAUUUUUCUUUGUGUUAAAGUCAUUAAUUCCAACGCAGAGCUCACAACACAAAGAAGAAUUUUCUUGUCCGUUCCAAUC
This 98-nucleotide microRNA precursor is filed under the name Paramuricea clavata. The record is from RNAcentral. Lineage: Eukaryota; Metazoa; Cnidaria; Anthozoa; Malacalcyonacea; Plexauridae.